This 45-nucleotide non-coding RNA is filed under the name Schistosoma mansoni. Lineage: Eukaryota; Metazoa; Platyhelminthes; Trematoda; Strigeidida; Schistosomatidae. The record is from RNAcentral.
ACCCAGUUGAUGAGUCCUAGACAGGACGAAACGCGUGUCCUAGAC